GCGUAGAUAUCAGGAGGUACACCAAUGGCGAAGGCAGCUCCCUGGACAGGUUCUGACGCUGAGAUACGACAGCGUGGGUCGCGAAAGGGAUUAGAUACCCCUGUAGUCCACGCCGUAAACGUUGUACACUAGGUUUCGGAGGGCCUACCCCUUCGGAGCUCAAGCUAACGCGAUAAGUGUACCGCCUGAGGACGACGGCCGCAAGGCUAAAACUCAAAGGAAUUGACGGGGGCCCGCACAAGCGGUGGAGCAUGUGGCUAACUGCGAUGCGACGCUGAAGAACCUUACCUAGGCCUUGACAUGAACCGGACGAUUUUCGGCAACGGAUUUCUCCCUUCGGGGCCGGUUCACAGCUGCGACAUGACUGUCGUCAGCUCGUGUCGUGAGAUGUUUGCUUAAGUACAGCACGAGCCGCAACCCCUGUUCGUAAUAGCCAGCGCGUUCUGGCGGGGACUCUAAGAAGCCUAACCUGUGGUAUCAGGUGGGCAUGUGGGGACGACGUCUACUCAGUAUGCUCCUUACGCUUUAGGCAUGCACACGUGCGUACAAUGCUUGGUACCAUGGGACGCAAUCCCGCGAGGUGGUACGAAUCCAUAAAGCCAAGCCCAGUUGGGAUUGGAGUCUGCAA
Molecule: ribosomal RNA, 628 nt
Filed under: uncultured organism
Description: bacterial SSU rRNA
Rfam family: Bacterial small subunit ribosomal RNA
Source: RNAcentral